This 59-nucleotide non-coding RNA is filed under the name unclassified sequences. RNAcentral's name for it is "GP20-b RNA". It matches the Rfam family "GP20-b RNA". The record is from RNAcentral.
UGACCGGGCCGAAGUCGUAAAACUACGGAGCCAAUGGGAGCGACCCCGUAAAAAGCGUA